This is a ribosomal RNA of 402 nucleotides. It matches the Rfam family "Bacterial small subunit ribosomal RNA", at positions 355 to 774 of the family's 1533-position model.
UGGGGAAUAUUGCGCAAUGGGCGAAAGCCUGACGCAGCGAUGCCGCGUGGGGGAAGAAGGUUUUCGGAUUGUAAACCCCUGUCUUUGGGGACGAUAAUGACGGUACCCAAGGAGGAAGCUCCGGCUAACUUCGUGCCAGCAGCCGCGGUAAUACGAAGGGAGCGAGCGUUGUCCGGAAUUACUGGGUGUAAAGGGAGUGUAGGCGGGAAGAUAAGUCAGGCGUGAAAUGCAUGGGCUCAACCCAUGAGCUGCGUUUGAAACUAUUUUUCUUGAGUGAAGUAGAGGAUGGCGGAAUUCCCAGUGUAGCGGUGAAAUGCGUAGAUAUUGGGAGGAACACCAGUGGCGAAGGCGGCCAUCUGGGCUUUUACUGACGCUGAGGCUCGAAAGCGUGGGGAGCAAACA